AACGAACGCUGGCGGCGUGCUUAACACACGCAAGUCGAACGUGAAAGGCUUCGGCCGAGUAAAGUGGCGCACGGGUGAGUAACGCGUGGGUAAUCUGCCCUUGGGCGGGGGAUAACCUCUCGAAAGGGGGGCUAAUACCGCAUGAGACCACGGCUUUUCGAGGCUGUGGGAAAAGGUGGGUCGCAAGGCCUGCCACCUGAGGAUGAGCCCGCGUACCAUUAGGUUGUUGGUGGGGUAAUGGCCUACCAAGCCGAAGAUGGUUAGCUGGUCUGAGAGGACGAUCAGCCACACUGGGACUGAGACACGGCCCAGACUCCUACGGGAGGCAGCAGUGGGGAAUAUUGCGCAAUGGGAGAAACCCUGACGCAGCAACGCCGCGUGUGUGAAGAAGGCCU
RNAcentral lists this ribosomal RNA (395 nucleotides) under uncultured bacterium. RNAcentral's name for it is "bacterial SSU rRNA". It matches the Rfam family "Bacterial small subunit ribosomal RNA", at positions 29 to 417 of the family's 1533-position model. The record is from RNAcentral.